GACGAACGCUGGCGGCGUGCCUAAUACAUGCAAGUUGAGCGAUGAAGAUUGGUGCUUGCACCAAUUUGAAGAGCAGCGAACGGGUGAGUAACGCGUGGGGAAUCUGCCUUUGAGCGGGGGACAACAUUUGGAAACGAAUGCUAAUACCGCAUAACAACUUUUAACAUAAGUUUUAAGUUUGAAAGAUGCAAUUGCAUCACUCAAAGAUGAUCCCGCGUUGUAUUAGCUAGUUGGUGAGGUAAAGGCUCACCAAGGCGAUGAUACAUAGCCGACCUGAGAGGGUGAUCGGCCACAUUGGGACGGAGACACGGCCCAAACUCCUACGGGAGGCAGCAGUAGGGAAUCUUCGGCAAUGGACGAAAGGCUGACCGAGCCACGCCGCGUGAGUGAAGAAGGUUUUCGGAUCGUGAAACUCGGUUGGUAGAGAAGAACGUUGGUGAGAGUGGAAAGCUCAUCAAGUGACGGUAACUACACAGAAAGGGACGGCUAACUACGUG
This 497-nucleotide ribosomal RNA is filed under the name uncultured bacterium. RNAcentral's name for it is "partial 16S ribosomal RNA". It matches the Rfam family "Bacterial small subunit ribosomal RNA", at positions 28 to 507 of the family's 1533-position model. The record is from RNAcentral.